GGGCGGUUAACUCAGCGGGAGAGUGCUACCUUCACACGGUAGAAGUCGUUGGUUCAAAUCCAAUACCGCCUACCA
RNAcentral lists this transfer RNA (75 nucleotides) under Pseudomonadota bacterium. RNAcentral describes it as "tRNA-Val". It matches the Rfam family "tRNA". From Rfam's summary of the family: Transfer RNA (tRNA) molecules are approximately 80 nucleotides in length. RNAcentral also lists the same sequence under 7 other names. The record is from RNAcentral. Lineage: Bacteria; Pseudomonadati; Pseudomonadota.